GCAGACACAUUCCAGCCAAUCAGCAGCAGACCCUCCCUCCCAGACCCUCCCACCUCCUGGACAGCUCACUAAGAAUGCAGCUUCACAAUGAAUGUAAAAUGGAUGCUGUCCAGGAGUUGGGAGGGUCUGGGAGGGAGGGUCUGCUGCUGAUUGGCUGGAAUGUGUCUG
Pelobates cultripes (western spadefoot toad) is the source of this 168-nucleotide non-coding RNA. Lineage: Eukaryota; Metazoa; Chordata; Amphibia; Anura; Pelobatidae. The record is from the annotation of a GenBank genome assembly.